UUGAACGCUGGCGGCAGGCCUAACACAUGCAAGUCGAGCGGUAGAGAGAAGCUUGCUUCUCUUGAGAGCGGCGGACGGGUGAGUAAUGCCUAGGAAUCUGCCUGGUAGUGGGGGAUAACGUUCGGAAACGGACGCUAAUACCGCAUACGUCCUACGGGAGAAAGCAGGGGACCUUCGGGCCUUGCGCUAUCAGAUGAGCCUAGGUCGGAUUAGCUAGUUGGUGAGGUAAUGGCUCACCAAGGCGACGAUCCGUAACUGGUCUGAGAGGAUGAUCAGUCACACUGGAACUGAGACACGGUCCAGACUCCUACGGGAGGCAGCAGUGGGGAAUAUUGGACAAUGGGCGAAAGCCUGAUCCAGCCAUGCCGCGUGUGUGAAGAAGGUCUUCGGAUUGUAAAGCACUUUAAGUUGGGAGGAAGGGCAGUUACCUAAUACGUGAUUGUUUUGACGUUACCGACAGAAUAAGCACCGGCUAACUCUGUGCC
Molecule: ribosomal RNA, 485 nt
Filed under: Pseudomonas sp. SC38
Lineage: Bacteria; Pseudomonadati; Pseudomonadota; Gammaproteobacteria; Pseudomonadales; Pseudomonadaceae
Description: bacterial SSU rRNA
Rfam family: Bacterial small subunit ribosomal RNA
Source: RNAcentral